CCACAUCUGCAGAAACACAAGAAGCAAUCAAAGGCAGGACUGUGUGAGUGCACUCACAGCAUUGAAUCAUAGUAAUUAAAUACACCUCUUUCUCACUCUCCCUUGGCAAGCACUAUGAGUGCCCUAAACGUGGUGAGUUUGGCCCAUGGGGGGGAUGGGGGAAGAUCCAAGAUGGGGCAAAAUGUCUGGGUGGUUUUGGAAGAGAAUCACUGCAAGCAACUAGAGACACUACUGUAAAUUCUGUCACCAUUUUCCAUAAGCAGGGAUCAUUGAAGCUGAUACUUCAUUCCUGAGGGUAAACAAGAAUACAAUAGUGCAUCUCCUGCGUACGUGUGGCUUCAGAUUGGGUCCCUAUGCUGAUUGCCUGUGUGCUGCUUUGAUCCCUGCACAAGUGAUUGCCAAUUGAUGCGGGAAAUUUUCCUACAGCAGGGUAAGAAACAAAGCAGCUCUGUCAAGGAACCUUCAGCAGAGAAUUGGCAAGUACCUCCAGGAAAGUUUCCUAGCUAUCCCUCUGGAGGACUCCUGUGAAAUCUUGGUGUGCAUUAACACUUUUCCACUGGGCCUCCUGUGACACACUGUACCUCAAAGUAGCACCCUGUAACCCCUUGUAAAGGGGCGGUCACCCCGCUCCAGCCCUAAAAGGGUUAAAAGCCAGUCCUUGGAGGGGGCUGGGGCUGAAAACCAAACAUAGAAGGCUGGGCGGCAGCCAAUCAGGGCCAGGCUGGGCCCUAUAAAAGGGCUGCAGGGCCAGAAGGCAGUCAGUCUUUCUCCAGCUUUGCAGAGAGAUGGACCUGCCUGCCUGAAGGAAAAAAGGGUACUUUGGACAGCGCAGUGCUGGGGAAGGGCAGGAGGAGCUGGGGAAGCUCUAGCCUGGCAAACCCCCAGGCAGGGGCCUUGUUUUAAGGGCUGGAGGAGGUCCUAGGGCUGUGGGGAAGCAGCCACAGGAGGAAGAGGUAGCAGGUCCAACCCCGUUGCCAAUGAUGAGUGGCCACUUCAGACUGCAGUUUGCCCCUGAGGGAAGGGGCUAGAUGAAGACUGGCAAUGGGUCACUGAGGCAAAAUGGGCUUAGAGGAUUGGGGUUCCCCAGGGCAGUACACAAGAGAAGGGGCACCGCAGGCCAGGAGGGAUGCAGGGCCUGAAGUUCAGUGGUGGAGAUUUAUCAGGAAGCAGGAGAGACACCGGCCAGCAGGAGGUGCUCUGAGGUUGGGAUGAGCUAAUUCCUGGACUAACCAGAAGGAGGUGCCGUGGUGGUGAGUCCUGACCCCAUUACACCCCCUAUUCUUCAUUCAUAUAUGGCUGUGAUAUAUCAUACAAAGCAUGCCAUUUAAGAUACCAUAUGAAAGGUCAUGAUCUGCUGAAACUCAUUGUUUGUCAAAAUAUGUAUAUCGUUAGUGUGGAUGAAGUUAUGAGAGCCUGUUAUAUGGUUAUUAAUGAAAUACGUUGUGGGUUUGGGAGUCGCCCACGGCUAGUUCUCCAGUGACAACAAAGGAGGUAACCCACACCCAGGGCAUUAAACGACCGCAAGGGUGUCAUAAACAAGGAAUUUACAAUUAUGUAAAUUGUGCCUUGUUGUGCAAGUACCACAUAAUCUGGAUUGCUCAACUCUAUGACACAGUUGCACAAGGCCACACCAGUGGGAUUGCUCAGGCCUUGCUGAGUCACAGAGUACCAGUCACAGAGUUACCGGAGUUCUUGCAUCUGCAGAAGUGAGGGGGUUUACCCACAAAAGCUUAUGCCCAAUUAAAUCUGUUGGUCUUUAAGGUGUCACCAGACUCCUGAUUGUUUUUGUGGAUACAGACUAACACGGCUACCCCCAAUACUAGAGUUACCAGGAUAUGUCUGAGCUAGUACUUUCCAGGCACAUUGACUGAGGGUAUAAAAUAAGGGACAGUGGCAUCAUACAAUUACCUUUCUCCUCCCCCACCUACACUGACGGCAACAAGAACAGUGGGAAGACAAGACUUGAACUGAGGAGCCUGGUCCCAGGCUGAGGAGGAAAGUCAGCCUGUGUAUUAAGGAUUGUAACCUGCCUGCAACAUCCAGUGAGAUCCUUCAUCUGAUGAAAAACUGGGAAUUCUACAACAGGACUCUGGAAAACAAAUUGUGAAACACAAGGGAAUGGACACAGUUGUGAGCCAAUCAUUCUAAACUUAUUUAAUCAGCAACAGCAGUCCAGCAGCUGCUCAAAGCAUUCAUCAAUGGCUGUGAUAGCUCCUGCACCUGCUUGUUCCCAGCUCUGCUCCAG
Molecule: long non-coding RNA, 2245 nt
Organism: Trachemys scripta elegans
Lineage: Eukaryota; Metazoa; Chordata; Testudines; Emydidae
Exons: 3
Source: RefSeq, a predicted model, not a curated record